RNAcentral lists this ribosomal RNA (254 nucleotides) under uncultured bacterium. RNAcentral's name for it is "partial 16S ribosomal RNA". It matches the Rfam family "Bacterial small subunit ribosomal RNA", at positions 524 to 776 of the family's 1533-position model. The record is from RNAcentral.
UACGGGGGGAGCAAGCGUUGUUCGGAUUUACUGGGCGUAAAGGGCGCGUAGGCGGUCAGCACAAGUCAGUUGUGAAAUCUCCGGGCUUAACCCGGAAAGGUCAACUGAUACUGUGCGACUAGAGUGCGGAAGGGGCAACUGGAAUUCUCGGUGUAGCGGUGAAAUGCGUAGAUAUCAGGAGGAAUACCGAUGGCGAAGGCAGGUCUCUGGGCUGACACUGACGCUCAUGCACGAAAGCGUGGGGAGCAAACAGG